RNAcentral lists this long non-coding RNA (470 nucleotides) under Homo sapiens (human). RNAcentral describes it as "HSALNT0207001". The record is from RNAcentral. Lineage: Eukaryota; Metazoa; Chordata; Mammalia; Primates; Hominidae.
GAGAACUUUAGCUUUAUCUAGUAUGUUUUGGUUUUUUGGAAUUACCUUAAAAUGCAUUUGCAGUGCUUCUGUCAUUGAAAAGCUAAUUUAAUAACAAUCUCUCCUUUUGCCAAGCAGUAGAGAUCAGAACAGGACAAAUUCUUGUCCUUUCAUGUACCUCCAACUGACAUCAACUUGUAGAAACAGCACUGAAGAUGGUCUGAAUGGGAACUAUUACAACACUGGGAGAAAUAGAAGAUAAUCUUAUUAUCGGGGAAAUAGUUACUACAGCCACACCAGCGUACAAUAAUCUCAGGACUUCAGUGAAGCACAUGGAAUGGAUGACAUUGUCGUGGUCAUUCUUGGAAAUUACAGUCUGAAACUGAAGCAUAUGCAAAAUGCACCUGAAAAUUCAGACAUCUGUGCCUUGUAAGGAAAGGAGACACCACAGAUCACCCUUUGGGAGAUUGAAAAAAAAGAGCAAUAAAAAU